CGGAGGUGGUGCAUGGUUGUCGUCAGCUCGUGUCGUGAGAUGUUGGGUUAAGUCCCGCAACGAGCGCAACCCUUAUUGUUAGUUGCCAUCAUUCAGUUGGGCACUCUAGCAAGACUGCCGGUGACAAACCGGAGGAAGGUGGGGAUGACGUCAAAUCAUCAUGCCCCUUAUGACCUGGGCUACACACGUGCUACAAUGGGAAGUACAACGAGUUGCGAAGUCGCGAGGCUAAGCUAAUCUUUUAAAGCUUCUCUCAGUUCGGAUUGCAGGCUGCAACUCGCCUGCAUGAAGCCGGAAUCGCUAGUAAUCGCGGAUCAGCCCGCAAUCGUGAAUACGUUCCCGGGCCUUGUACAC
This 354-nucleotide ribosomal RNA is filed under the name Enterococcus faecium. RNAcentral's name for it is "bacterial SSU rRNA". It matches the Rfam family "Bacterial small subunit ribosomal RNA", at positions 1033 to 1388 of the family's 1533-position model. The record is from RNAcentral. Lineage: Bacteria; Bacillati; Bacillota; Bacilli; Lactobacillales; Enterococcaceae.